GAUGAAGAACGUAGCGAAAUGCGAUAAGUAAUGUGAAUUGCAGAAUUCAGUGAAUCAUCGAAUCUUUGAACGCACAUUGCGCCCGCCAGGAUUCUGGCGGGCAUGCCUGUCUGAGCGUCAUUUCAACCCUCAUGCCCCUAGGGCGUGGUGUUGGGGAUCGGCCAAAGCCCGCGAGGGACGGCCGGCCCCUAAAUCUAGUGGCGGACCCGUCGUGGCCUCCUCUGCGAAGUAGUGAUAUUCCGCAUCGGAGAGCGACGAGCCCCUGCCGUUAAACCCCCAACUUUCCAAGGUUGACCUCAGAUCAGGUAGGAAUACCCGCUGAACUUAAGCAUAUCAAUAAGCGGAGGA
Molecule: unclassified non-coding RNA, 348 nt
Filed under: soil metagenome
Description: partial contains 5.8S ribosomal RNA, internal transcribed spacer 2, and large subunit ribosomal RNA
Rfam family: 5.8S ribosomal RNA (bases 1-120)
Source: RNAcentral